Paramuricea clavata is the source of this 376-nucleotide non-coding RNA. The record is from the annotation of a GenBank genome assembly. Lineage: Eukaryota; Metazoa; Cnidaria; Anthozoa; Malacalcyonacea; Plexauridae.
CAGAUACAUCUUAAACUAUCUACGUACUGGAAAGCUCAUCUUCCCUAAAGAAACAAAGUUUUGGCGAGAGAGCUUUACCUCGAGGCUGAGUUUUACCAGAUCAGUGAUAUUUAGAAAGAAAUUUGGCCGGGAACCACUUUGCAAAAUUCAAGUCACAUUGUCAAUACCCUGACGGACGAGCAAAGAAACACAUUGUUGUCUUGGCUACCCGUGAAAGAAAUGUUCUUCAACUGGGUCCAGCUAUACAGUUGUGCAACAAAUGGAUGGCAGUCAUCCUAUGUUCAUCAAAAUUGUGACAACAAAGGUCCCACUCUCGUCAUUGCGAAAUAUGGGAAUUACGUUUUUGGAGGUUAUGCUGAAGUUUCUUGGAAUUCAA